RNAcentral lists this ribosomal RNA (212 nucleotides) under uncultured bacterium. Its description in RNAcentral is "partial 16S ribosomal RNA". It matches the Rfam family "Bacterial small subunit ribosomal RNA", at positions 1289 to 1500 of the family's 1533-position model. The record is from RNAcentral.
CAGUUCGGAUUGAAGGCUGAAAUUCGCCUUCAUGAAGCCGGAAUUGCUAGUAAUGGCAGGUCAGCAUACUGCCGUGAAUACGUUCCCGGGCCUUGUACACACCGCCCGUCACACCAUGAGAGUUGGGGAUACCCGAAGCCUGUGAGCCAACAGUAAUGAGGCAGCAGUCGAAGGUAGAAUCAAUGAUUGGGGUGAAGUCGUAACAAGGUAUC